CCCUUAGAUGUUCUGGGCCGCACGCGCGCUACAAUGAUGAAUUCAACGAGUUCAUAACCUUGGUUGAAAAGCCUGGGUAAUCUUUUGAACUUUCGUCGUGAUGGGGCUAGACCCUUGCAAUUAUUGGUCUCCAACGAGGAAUUCCUAGUAAACGCAAGUCAUCAGCUUGCAUUGAUUACGUCCCUGCCCUUUGUACACACCGCCCGUCGCACCUACCGAUUGAAUGGUCCGGUGAAAUCUUCGGAUUGAGACUUUGAUUUCUUCACGGAAAACGCUGUUUUAAAAAGUUGAUUAAACCUUACCAUUUAGAGGAAGGUGAANUCGUANCA
RNAcentral lists this ribosomal RNA (329 nucleotides) under uncultured eukaryote. Its description in RNAcentral is "partial 18S ribosomal RNA". It matches the Rfam family "Eukaryotic small subunit ribosomal RNA", at positions 1470 to 1796 of the family's 1831-position model. The record is from RNAcentral.